AACGAACGCUGGCGGCAUGCCUAACACAUGCAAGUCGAACGAGACCUUCGGGUCUAGUGGCGCACGGGUGCGUAACGCGUGGGAACCUGCCCUUAGGUUUGGAAUAACUCCCCGAAAGGGGUGCUAAUACCGGAUAAUGUCUUCGGCCCAAAGAUUUAUCGCCUUUGGAUGGGCCCGCGUUGGAUUAGCUAGUUGGUAGGGUAAAAGCCUACCAAGGCGACGAUCCAUAGCUGGUCUGAGAGGAUGAUCAGCCACACUGGGACUGAGACACGGCCCAGACUCCUACGGGAGGCAGCAGUGGGGAAUAUUGGACAAUGGGCGAAAGCCUGAUCCAGCAAUGCCGCGUGAGUGAUGAAGGCCUUAGGGUUGUAAAGCUCUUUUACCCGGGAUGAUAAUGACAGUACCGGGAGAAUAAGCUCCGGCUAACUCCGUG
RNAcentral lists this ribosomal RNA (433 nucleotides) under uncultured bacterium. Its description in RNAcentral is "partial 16S ribosomal RNA". It matches the Rfam family "Bacterial small subunit ribosomal RNA", at positions 29 to 507 of the family's 1533-position model. The record is from RNAcentral.